This is a long non-coding RNA of Globicephala melas (long-finned pilot whale), 1920 nucleotides long. RefSeq lists it as uncharacterized. The record is from RefSeq and is a predicted model, not a curated record. Lineage: Eukaryota; Metazoa; Chordata; Mammalia; Artiodactyla; Delphinidae.
GGCGUCCAGUCCAGCAUCUCCAGCUGUGACCUCCAACAGCAAAAUGAAACUUCUGUGUCUGCACUUGGUCCAGGAGAUGUUACUUCUCAUAUAGCAGUGUACACUGUUUAUCCCAGUGGGUUCCAAGAGCUGUACCGCCAUUUUCUUAGGCUCCCUAGUGGUGCAAUUGUUGAGGUGUUUGGUGAUAUCAGUGGCUUAAAGUUUAUCCCCAGUGAAGUGGUCACGGCUAUUCAGGAGCAUCUAAGUGAAAUGGACAGUGCACUGGAAGACUCCUCAGAUAUUAAAUCAAGAGGAUUGAAAAGAAUCCAUUAAAACAAAAAGGUCCACAAGUCAUGGUGAGAAGACUAAGUUCAACUUCCUUUUCAAUCUACGGCCUUAUAAUAUGUCCUUUACCAGAAGUCAGUAACCAGUACUGGAAACAACAGCUGGACGUCGUGAUUGUCCCAAAUAUGUUUUCAGAGAACAUAGACUCAUCUUCAUUAGCUUAGAAAGAGCUACUUGGCUCCUGUGAAGUAUGAAGAGAGAUAGAAUAUCAUUUUUCACACUCCCCCAGCAGUACUCUUUCCUUUGGAGGGAAUAAGGGGAAUGGCUAGAAGAUGAUAUAACCAAGCCUAAAUAAAUCCCCUUUCCCCUUCACUUAGCAUAAAAUUUCACAUUUUUUUUCUAGAAGAAAUUUCAAGGAAAAACAUGGAAAAAUUACAUAAUAAAAAAAAUCAAGUCACUUAAAUUAGUUGUUUUACAGCACAAAUGCUUUGUAUUCUAAGAUAUCAACAAACAGCCCCAAACUGGCUGGCUCCCAUUCGGGCUCCCCUCAUCCACCUUAGCUCUUUCUAAAAGGACCAAAGUAGACUAUUCCUUUGACUAUUCCUUUUUGUCUUUACUCCCUUGCUUUCCUUUUUUCAACUGAAGGUUUGGAAUAGGACUUAGGAUCACAAGAGGACAAAGAACUGUCAGAGGGUUGAUGGGUUAUAAAAAAAUCCUGCAUCUUUAAGAAUCAUUUGUCCUCAUUAUAGAGCAAUAAAUACAGAGGAUAUCUAGGCCCUCUGGUCCUCCUCUGCGUUUUUAAGGAAGGGUAAGCAGGUGUUUUAACAGUCACCUCUCUCAAACAAAAAGCAGUGUUUAUGAGAGAGGUCAAAUUUGAUACCUGUAACUGGGAAACAUAAACACAUCCCAUCCUGGUGAUUUUUCAAUCCUCAUCUUUAAUUAUUGUCUAACUAUAAGGAUAUCUUCAGUCUUACAAUAAGACAUUGAAUUACACUAGAUGUUCCCUCUAUUGGCAGAAAUUAGCAUAUGCAUAUACUGUCUAUAUUUUUCAUCCUCUAUAGCUCUUAUUGAAGGCAGAUCAACAUAUAUUAACAUCUCUGACAACAGAUCUCAACUUCACAGAAACUAGUGAACAUUCUAAAUAGGUUUUAAUGGCUUAAAUUCUUGCACCUGCACAACUCAGGAAACUAGACUCUUCCUUCAAAAUGAUACGGGACUGUCAGUGUCAACGACUUCUUGCAUUCCUCACCUCCACACUUGCAAGUAUAAUUACCUGGUCGUAGCUCUGGUCAUCAGGUACUCACCUCCACUUUCACCGAAUAGCUUUCUAUUCUAACUACAUGCUUUGCCUUCCCCAUUGGAGCAUGAAUUACCUGUGUGGAGAAUUUUUCAAAUGUAUCUUCUUAUUAACAGAGCUUAGAACAAUUCUUGGCCCUAUGCAGGGGCCCAAAAAACAUUUCCUGUUGGGAAGAUGGUGUGAAGGAGAGGUGGGGGAAGGGAUUAGGGCCAGGUGUUAUCACUUAUAGUAUAAAUAAGAAGCCCAUCCCUCCUCCUGAAAAAGUGGGGCUGGAUACAGUAAAGUAAGUUCUAUGAUAGACCUGUAUCAAUACAAAAUAUACUGAGAAGGAUAAAUGUAUACAUAUAAGUAGAUUUCUG